AUCCAGCCUUCGUGCUCUCUAUGUGAUUAUGUUUAUGCUAUAAUGGAAGUUGCUGUGUGUCAUGAUCUUUAGGAUUCAUGGAAAUAAUGCACAAACAAUGAGGAAGAAAUAAAUAAGUAGCAAGAAAUACAAGCACUCCAAGAUCAGCCUCUUCACCAACUGCUGGCCUACGAGGAUUUACCCAGUAUAUUUGGCUCGCACACCACAAGCAAUAGAGGCUUGCUAUGAUCAUAAUAAGUUUCAAUGAUUGGUGCGAUUCCUUUCUAGUGAACUUUAAGGAUUUUACCCUGUUGAUGUAAAUAAAGCCUCCAAUUAAGCAAGUGCAUAGGAAGCCAACCACAACGACAGCAUCUGGAUUGAUGGGUGCUUGAUUCUUCCACCAACCAGUGCUCAAUAUCCAGGUAUACACUGAUGAAUGUCCAUUUUCCUCAAACAAGUGAUCUAGGAAAAAGUGUGAUAAACACCCAGCAGCCGCCAACAAUAAGCAUUGCCUCCUUGAAAGGGGCACCCCAGAAACUGAAUCAAGAAUCUUCCUUUGAAGCAAAAUUUUGGAGAGCCAAGAGUACAAAACACACAAGGGAAGGCCCAGAAUCAAGACAUAGUAGAAGGGGUCAUGGAUAUAGUCAGCUAGCGCAGAGCCGAAAAGCUGAGCAGAGGGACCAAGGUUAGAGCCGAGCCACUCGGAGAAAGAACCAAUGUCAGGACCAAAAAAGGCAUUGAUGGUGUAGGUGAGGGCGUGAUGCGGGGUGAAGCGGCCGUUGGUCAAAGUGGUAAGGGCCAGACCGGAGCCCAUGGCGUACAUAAGGUGAGGUCCGGGGCCAGGCAUUAUCUGCUAAGCCUUAGUAACUAAAGUCAGCAGCCGGGAAAGAAGUUGGUGACUUGGUCCUCGCCGGCGCCUUUAAAUAAACUCAUUCCCUUUUUUCUUUUUCUUUUUUUUUUUUCC
RNAcentral lists this unclassified non-coding RNA (943 nucleotides) under Hevea brasiliensis (rubber tree). Lineage: Eukaryota; Viridiplantae; Streptophyta; Magnoliopsida; Malpighiales; Euphorbiaceae. The record is from RNAcentral.